This 465-nucleotide ribosomal RNA is filed under the name Vreelandella stevensii. RNAcentral describes it as "partial 16S ribosomal RNA". It matches the Rfam family "Bacterial small subunit ribosomal RNA", at positions 338 to 795 of the family's 1533-position model. The record is from RNAcentral. Lineage: Bacteria; Pseudomonadati; Pseudomonadota; Gammaproteobacteria; Oceanospirillales; Halomonadaceae.
CCUACGGGUGGCUGCAGUGGGGAAUAUUGGACAAUGGGCGAAAGCCUGAUCCAGCCAUGCCGCGUGUGUGAAGAAGGCCUUCGGGUUGUAAAGCACUUUCAGUGGGGAAGAAAGCCUUGGGGCUAAUACCCUCGAGGAAGGACAUCACCCACAGAAGAAGCACCGGCUAACUCCGUGCCAGCAGCCGCGGUAAUACGGAGGGUGCGGGCGUUAAUCGGAAUUACUGGGCGUAAAGCGCGCGUAGGCGGUCUGAUAAGCCGGUUGUGAAAGCCCCGGGCUCAACCUGGGAACGGCAUCCGGAACUGUCAGGCUAGAGUGCAGGAGAGGAAGGUAGAAUUCCCGGUGUAGCGGUGAAAUGCGUAGAGAUCGGGAGGAAUACCAGUGGCGAAGGCGGCCUUCUGGACUGACACUGACGCUGAGGUGCGAAAGCGUGGGUAGCAAACAGGAUUAGAUACCCCGGUAGUC